AAUAAUAAAAAAGAUUUUUUUGCCCUUUGUCCCUCUCCCUUUCCCCUCCCUCUCUUUCCUCCCCUCUCCCCUUUCCUUCCCCCUUCCUCUCCUCUAUGCCGAUAGCACUCUCUUCCUCCCUCCCUGCCUGCGUUGAACGGAGGGUUGCCGCCCAUCCAGCCCCUCUCCCUUCCUCCUACUGUCGCGCCGCCCUUCCCCUUCUUCUUCCCUUUCGCAGCGACGUCGACCAAAGAAAGGAGCUGCCAUCGCCGUUUCGGCCGCCUGCCAAUGUCCAAUCAGCCGUCUAACGCCAAAUUCGGGUCCCUCACCAUCGAAAACAAGACUCCCCCGUUCUUUUCCAUCGCCGGCAGCCUCAGAGGAGCUUCGCCGGAGCCGAGACUUUUCAGCCCCGAUUUGGUGCCUUCCGUUGAGUUUAUGGCUGAAACUCUUGUGUUUUCGGACUCCCCGAAACUCAAGCUUCGCAUAGGCACUUUCGGAUUCAAAUUCCGACACCAUUGGCAGUACUAGCUUCCGGACCCCGGCGUUUUCCGGACACGCGAAAUUUUAAAUUUCGGCUCGAUAUAAUUUUAUUUGGACGUCAAAAGUUAUGUUUUAAUUUUAAAAAAAUAUUGUUGCUAUUAAUUAUCAAUUAUAGAUAAUUUAAAUUUAAUUAGAUUUAGUUAAUUGUGAUUUGUGGUGUGUUGGGGAGUUGGAAAAAAUAAUGUAGUUUUGUGGCCCGACUCCCGUUAGUUAAUCCCAGAAUAUUUGAAGUGUUUCUAGCAGGUUCUUAACCCAUUGUACGGGGGGAAAUAUUCAUAAUGUAGAGGAGGUUCUGCCAAAUUUUCGAUAGAAUUCUCAAAUCUGAAAUAUUUUUUUAGGCAGUCUAAUCUAUGGGUCUAGGCUUAGAGAAAUUUAAAAAUAUCUAUUAAUCGAGUGUUUUCGUGAAUAGAUAAUCUAUCCAUCCCGCCAGCUCCACCCGAGGCGUAGGAGCGGACUGUGGAGCGCAACAGAACUGUGAGUUAAAGUCAUAUAAUCACUGUACCAUUGGCAUGUCUAAAUUUAAUGCGAUGUUUAAUGAUUAAUAUUUAAUAAGGUUAUUAUUAUCGUAAUUAUAAGUAAUUUUGUUUAAUUGAUAAUUAUCAUGAAUAGUACUAGUAUUAUUAUCAGUAAAUUUAUGUCAUUAUUUUGAAUAUUUUUAAUUAAUGUUAUUUUAAUAUUAGUAUUAUUAUCACUGCUUAUAAUUGCAUGUUUGCUAAUUCUGAGAUUUCUAAAUUUUUAAUUCUCAGUAUGUUAUUGAUUAAUUUAUGUUGGCCUGUGAUUAUUUUAUUUAUGAUUUUUAUAAAUGUUGUGAUUGUGACAUUAGGAUGAGGUGACAGUAGAACAUGUCACAUGAUGGGUUACAUUAGGAUUGCGUGCGCACCGAUAAUAAUGAGAGGCAGAUAACAAAGGUUAUUUUUGGAUUUUGCCCUGGUCGAGUAUAACUCUCAAGGCUGUGAAAGCUUGACUGCUGGAGAAAGGUCCCUAAUCGAGCAAUGCUCUUUGGCGCCAGCUUAAUUGGGAAUCAAGUUUUUAGGCUAGAUGUAAGGACCCUGGUUGAGCUUCACUCUCUAGGCGCCAUACCUAUUAGAAUAAGAGAGUCGAAAGACUACUAGCAUUUUGGGUUGGGGUUCUGCUAAGCCACUCGUCCCAUAAGUCUUUAAAUGUACUUUCUUUCUAAAUUAUGG
RNAcentral lists this long non-coding RNA (1703 nucleotides) under Ricinus communis (castor bean). RNAcentral's name for it is "long non-coding RNA (RCOM_LNC000769)". Lineage: Eukaryota; Viridiplantae; Streptophyta; Magnoliopsida; Malpighiales; Euphorbiaceae. The record is from RNAcentral.